UUUAAUAUGGCAGAACUAGUGCAUUGAAUUUAAGCUUCAAAAAUAAAGAAUAAUCUUUUGUUAAAA
This 66-nucleotide transfer RNA is filed under the name Waoraniella jarlinsoni. RNAcentral's name for it is "tRNA-Leu". Lineage: Eukaryota; Metazoa; Arthropoda; Insecta; Psocodea; Lachesillidae. The record is from RNAcentral.